RNAcentral lists this long non-coding RNA (7192 nucleotides) under Medicago truncatula (barrel medic). RNAcentral describes it as "lncRNA gene26424". The record is from RNAcentral. Lineage: Eukaryota; Viridiplantae; Streptophyta; Magnoliopsida; Fabales; Fabaceae.
UUACAGAAAACUGCCCAACUUUUGCAGUAAAUUGCGCAAAUGAAUGAAGUACUGAUAGAUCGUCACAAAGCUUUGGCUGCAAAAGUGGUUAACUUAUUGGCUAAGAUUUGUGAAGUUGGUAGCUAUUGACCAUAUUCAUGAAGAUCACCGAACCCGUAGAGUUUGAGCACCUGAUUAUCAGCGAAAUUGAUAGCCCUUUCCAUGCUACUAAGACACCUCUCAACUGGAUAAUCACCAUAACUUCCACACGGAUUACAACCCACAAAAUGAGUCACAAACGGCCACCUCUCAUCCCCUAAACCCGGAUGAUACUUCUCAAUCAUCUCCUCAUACCGAUCAACCAACCCAGCCGUCAAAAUCUUCCAGGCCUCUUCCCUGACAGGACCUUUCGGACCCAUAGGAGCCCAAACAUCAAGCAAAUCCAAAGACCAUUGACAGUUCCUAAAAAGAAAACUACCAGUAUUGAUAGCAAUCCAUGACUUCUGCUUUCUGUUUAUUCAUUCACCUAUGUACAAGUCUCUGUCGCUUUCUGUUCAUUCACUUGAAGCCCCUUUUGGGAAGUUUCCUGCCUUUCUUCCAUUUCUACGGUGUUCCUUUGCUAACUCUAUUUGUUUUAUUUACAGAAAACUGCCCAGCCUUUGCACCAAAUUGCGCAAAUGAACAAUAUACUGAUAGAUCGCCACAAAGCUUUGGCUGCAAAAGUGGUUAACUUAUUGGCUAAGGUUUGGGAAUUUGGUAGCUAUUGACCAUAUUCAUGAAGAUUACGGUGUCUUUCUUCUUUCCAUUUCGAUGUACCCCUACUUACAUUUAUACUUGGCAAUUUGUGUGGUUCUGCAGGUGUUGGUAUGUAAAUUGACAAAAGAACUAAUUGCGAUUCUCAGCGCAUUUUCCCUAUUACAGAAGAGUGACCAAAGAUAAUGGCUGAAUUGCCAACUUGGGGUUUUAUCAUUAAUAUGGACUGGAAGAUAGCAGAGCACACUCUAAGUCUAACUGUACCAAUUGUUAGUUAGCUAUGUUCUUCUAAUCUUCUUACUCACAUUUUUUUCAUUUACACAAUCUCUUGAUGUCAAAUUAAUGAUUCCAACAUUAUGGUUUAGUUUUAGGAAAGUCCUAAACUUGGAUUUUCUUGGACCAAAGUCUAUUCUUAGUUACAUUCAGCAUAUGUUAAUGAAAGAGGCUCACUUUUCUUAAGGGUGUAAUUUUUUUAUACGAAAUUCUUAAGCAUAUGACGUUAGGUUUGAUUUGAAAUUUUUCUAAGCAUUCAACUUACGGUGAAGAAAUUUCGUAUCAAACCUAAGAAUAAAGUUUAUGGUGUCCUUUCUACCACAUCAUUAAUACUAACUACUUAUCUAUUGGUGAAGAAAUACCGACAUUUUUUUUUUUUGAAGUGUUUAACAACUCAUUGGAUUUUAAAACUCAAACUAAAUUAUAAAGAAAUUACAAAGCAUGUUGUUUAGCAACUCAGGUAUCAAACUAUGAUUGCGAACAAUGUGGUGUGGGUAUAGGCCAGUGUUUUGUAAACUAGACUGGCUCUUUCAACAGGUUAAACCAAUAACACAUGUACUCAAAUUACUGAAAAGUGGAUCAUAUUUGGUCUGAAGUUGAUGGUAAAAACUAUUUGAUUCUGUGAACAUUUCAACUUAAGAUAAUUUUAUUGUAAUUUCUUGAUUUAACAAAUAGAUUAUAAAAUUUCUAGCCAAAAUAAAUGUCCAGCUUUUUAAGUUGUAUUCGUAUUGUAAAUAUUAUUUCAAUAUAAAUAACAUCACAAACUUGCUUAAGUAGUUGCUUAAACAUACUACCCCGGGAUGGGUGAAAACUCGUGGAUGGGUUGAAACUUGAAGAUAGCUUGGAGAGUUGCUGGAUGCAAUCAAGUACGUCUCAAUCCUUCCAAAGGGGAGGCACUAUAACUUGGGUUGGCUCGUUUGUUGUGGAAAGCAAAGCAAUUGGCUACUUUAGCCAAACAUGGAUCUAACUUCACACAUACAGCCAGGUCCGGCCUUGAGGGAGUGCAAGGUGCUCAAUCAAGCCGGACCUACAAAAGUUAUGUGCCUCAAAAAAAAUUAAAUCUAAUAUCCACCCCCACUUAAAUAAAAAAUAUAUAUGUUACUUCUUUACACGUUUGAGUUUUUUCUAGACUUUAGUUCUCCAAUCUGGACAUAAAUCUGGUACUAUCAAACCACCCUAAUUUGUAUAAUCACUUAAUCAGUCAAUUUGAAAAGCUAUUUCAUGGAAAGAAUCACAACAAUCAUUUCUUUUUCAUAUAGACCAUUCGUUUUCCCCUUUCCCACAACGGAUAAGUGACAAAUCCAAAUGACACCGUUAGUAAAUUCUACCUCUCUUUCACUUAUUUUUUUGUAUUUCGUUUCAUGUUUAGAAGCUCUGCUGAUUCAUAGGGACGGCCCUGCAUACAGCCAAUACGGAUAUGCAUAUACUAGUGUAACACCACUAUCAACACAUAAACCUAAAUCUUAAAAUUAACUAUAUAAAAUGACAAAAUAAUGCAUUCACAUUUGUUACCGGUGUAAAAUUGAUUGAAUAAUGCUAGCAAUACAUACUCUUUAACACACACUUUACAUCACACUAUCCUUUAUUGAUUAAAAUUCAUAUCCAUCAAAUAUAUGUAUGAUCGACAUGACUUUGUGGGUUUAUAUAAAUUUUAACCAUUAAAAGAGAAUGUGUUAAGGAGUAUGUUGCUUGCACUCCUCAAACUGAUUUACAAGCAUGUCUCUUAAUAGUGAGUUCACCGUUUCUAAAUCUAUCUAUUUACUUACAAUAUAUGAUAGCAAGUUACUACCAAAAAUACUUAACUACCCAUGCCCAAAUUUUCACCAUUUUAUUUUCUUCACAACUCAAAGGUUAUAAUGGACUUUUGUGCUAAUAAAAACCACUUUUUACCUCAAUGAUGUCAUCAAUCUACUUACAAUAUAUGAUAGCAAUUUACUACCAAAAAUACUUAACUACCCAUGCCCAAAUUUUCACCAUUUUAUUUUCUUCACAAUUCAAAGGUUAUAAUGGACUUUUGUGCUAAUAAAAACCACUUUUUACCUCAAUGAUGUCAUCAAACUUGUUAUACAUUGGGUAACGCGCUACACCCUAUUAUACAAUUUUUUAUUCAACUAUCAUUUCAUUUUCUCUGCAACUUUUCACCAUUUGAAAUUUGAAUUUCAAAUUCACUCAUUCAAAAUUUCUCACUCUUCUCUUUCAUUAUAUUCAUCUUUCUAUCUCAUUUCAUCUUUUGUUCUUUAAUUAUUUCUCUUGCUUCUCAUCUUUGCUCUUUCUCAUAUAUGUCCGUUAAAACAAAUUAAAUUUAAAAUAAUGUCCGUUAAAAAAAUGUAUAAAAUAACUACUAUUUUCCCCUAAACAAACAUAUAUCAAAGUAUAUAUAUUUUUCUCAAAAAUAAAAAAUCUACGUGUAUAUCAUAUUUUACGGAAAUAUGUCAGUACAUUUUUUUGUGAACAAUGUAUGUAUAUCUUUAUUUAUGAAAUUUAAUGUGAACUUUAUAUUAUUAAAAUAUAUUUGAGUGUAAGUUUUUUUACGAGAAUAUGUUUGUGUAUGUAUAUUUAUAAAAUUUAAUAUGAUAAAUAUAUAUUAAUAAAAUAUAUUGUUUUUCGUCCCCAUGAGCAUAACUCAUUUGAUAAGGGAUAAUGCACAAUAUGUGCAUGGGCCGGGGUUCGAACCCCAGACACCCCACUUAUUCAUCUUACAGGUGAAUUUCUCUAGUCACUAGGCUACUUGACCAAAAUAUAUAUAUAUAUAUAUAUAUAUAUAUAUAUAUAUAUAUAUAUAUAUAUAUAUAUAUAUAUAUAUAUAUAGUUUUUCAAAAAAAAAUGUAUAUGUGUGUAAGAACUAUAUAUUAAUAAAAAUAUAUUUAAGUAUAUAUAUUUUUCUCAAAAAGAAAAAAUCUAGGCUUAAUUGCAUGUUUGAUCCCUUAUGUUUAUUUUAGUUUUUAAAUUGGUCCUUCAUGUUUUAAAAGUUUUAAGUUGGUCCAAAACGUUACUCACGUUGGAAUAAAUUAGUUUGUUUUUUUAAUUUUUUUUGUUUUAUUAAACUCAAUAUCAUGUCAUGGAACAGACUAACUUAUUCCAACGUGAGUAACAUUUUGGACCAACUUGAAACUUUUAAAACCUAAGGGACCAACUUAAAAACUAAAAUAAACAAAGAUCAAACAUAAACAUAAGAGAUCAAAUUGGUCCUUGAUGUGUGUCGGUGUGGUUUCUAUUCAUUCAUUCACUAGAAGCCAUAGUUUUUUUUUUUUUUUUUUUGCAGUUUCCUGACUGGCUUUCAUUUCUUUGGUAUUGCUUCGCUAACUGUGAUAUUUUAGUUUUGCAGAAAAUUGCCCAACAUUUGAACCAGACUGCACAAAUGACGAAACACUGAUAGAAUGUCACAAAGCUUUGGCCGCAAAAGUGGUUAACUAAUUGGCUAAGGUUUGUGAACAUAGUAGGUAUUGUAAAUCACAUUCAUGAAGAGCUUUGGUAAAGAGCUUUUCUGUACGAUGUACAAUGAGACUGUCUUUCUUCUUUCCAUUUGGAAGUACCACUACUUGGUACUUACAUUUGUACUUUGCAAUUUGCUUGGUUCUGCAGGUGUUAGUUAGCAUGUAAAUUGACAAAAGAAUUAAUUGUGAUUCUCCAUGCAUAUUACAGAAGAAUGAUCAAACAUGAACUAAGAAGUGUUUUCAUCUCAAAUAUACUCAAAGAUAUUGGCUGGUGAAUAAAUUGCCAACUUAGGAUUUCACUAUCUUAAUGAAUUUUUACGUGAAUUUCACUAAAUAACUUGGACCACAUUCUCUGUAUUUGAAAGAUUUCCUAAUAUACAAAUAAUGCCGCAAGUCCCGCAACAAAGUACAUGCUUGGUUAUACAGAAGCUACAAACAGCGUAUAUGUGGUAUCUCACAUUAGAUUUUUCAGGAUCAUGUUCACGGUGGCUCGCCAUUGUAAUACCAAACAUGCACAAUAUUCGCAUGCAUGGUAUAGAUAUUUCUCCUCUCGUUACGAUUUACUUGUCAAAGCACCCUAUUCUGAAUUAACUGUAUCUUGGGGGUAAUUAUGAACCGAAACAUUGUCCAAAAGUCAAAGUUGUGUACCGUAUAUAAAAUUUUUAACUUCAACUUAUAUUUCAAGCUACCUAUUAGACAUUUUUUUGUUGAAAAUGAUACUAUUAUUUCAAGCUACCUCUUAGAAUUUGGAAACGCAAGGGGGCCAAAUAUUCAGUUGUUACUUCAUGUUACAAUUUAUUUAUUUUUUAAAUCAAGAGGGAAUGUAAAGUAUAUUAAGUUGAAUUCAUGCUCCAAAAAAGAAAAUACAGUGGAAGUUCAGUAUACAGAAGAUCAACAAAUAAAAUUUGUUUGUUGAUAGUUCAAACACAGCAGAAAGAAAAUAACUUAUAAAAGAAUUGUAUCCUAACAUUUCAAAGAAAUACUAAGACAACAGAACAAGAAUAAGUUACAUGUGAACUAUCACAAUAAAAUUCCACUUCUAAUCAACCACUAUCUGUAAUAAUUACCAAUUAAUCUAGUUAUUCUCACUAGCUUUUUGAUUCAAUGCUUUCUGUAGAAUGCCUUCGAAUAUCAAACUGGUCUACAAACUCCAAAGGAGUAACUGUCUCAUUUCUAAUUCUCUUAAUCUUAGGACUCAAUAGACCGCGAUGCCUGAACCCGUAGAGUUUGAGCACCUGAUUAUCAGCGAAGUUGAAAGCCCUUUCCAUGCUACUAAGACACCUCUCAACCGGAUAAUCACCAUAACUUCCACACGGCUUACAACCCACAAAAUGAGUCACAAACGGCCACCUCUCAUCCCCUAAACCCGGAUGAUACUUCUCAAUCAUCUCCUCAUACCGAUCAACCAACCCAGCCCAAUAACCAUGCAAAUAGUAAGAAUUCUCAAGAAACACCUUAUCCAUCCACUUCUCCUUCUUCGACAACAACAAAUAUAUCAACGCAGACUGAUCAUCCGCCUCAAAAGCCGGUCUCCCCUUAAGAUUAGCCGUCAAAAUCUUUCCCGCCUCUUCCCUGACAGGACCUUUCGGACCCAUAGGAGCCCAAACAUCAAGCAAAUCCAAAGACCACUGACAAUUCCUAAAAAGAAAACUACCAGUAUUGAUAGCAAUCCAUGACUUCUGCUCAAACAACAAAUCAGGGUAACCAUGAAUGACCAAAUUAUAAUCAUCAUACUUAGACAAAGGAAGCUCAAAAACCAUAUCUGUAAAAAAAGCAUCACUAUCCAUCCACCAAAUCCAUUCAACUUCAGGGUGUGACAACAUUAACCUCCUAAUCAUAGGCAAUUUAGCCCAAUAACCAGCUAACUCCAUGUCAAGAUGAGCCAUAUUAUAAACAAUUUCAAUCCCAUGUAAUCUACAAUAAUCAAUCUUAUUCUUAAUAGACUUUAACAAAUAAUGAUCCCCAAUUGGGUUAUCACAAGGCUUAGGAGGAGACCCAGUAAGAAGCAAAAUUCGAGCUUUACCUCGAACAAAACUCGGGUAUUCAGGGUUUUGAUUCAGCCAAGCUUUACGGUCAGAAUCCCAAUCGGAGAUUUUGGGGCCGAGGGUAAAAGUGGCAUUUGGGUUGAAAAAGGUGUUGUCUUUAUCGUCAGGAUCAGAUGGGUCGGCGUCGGAUCGGAUCUCGGCGAUGAUGCGGUUGGUUUCUUCGAUCAUGUUUUGGUUAACGGCGUCGGAGUCGGAGGAAAUGAGGUUAACGCCUAUGGUGCCACGUAGGACGAGGAUGGUGACGAAGCCACAGAGGAUGGUGAUUUUAACGUUGUUGAAUGUUUUUGAGAUCUGACGACCACGACGGUUUUUGCUGUUGGAGUUUGUUGCUGUGGUUGGUAAAACUGCGCUGCUGCUUCUGUUGUGAAGUGAACCAUUUUCUUUUCCCAUGUUUUCUGUCACUCACUCUCACUCUCAGUGAGAAAUGAGUAUAUGGAAUUUGAUUGAUGAUAACAAACCAAAGUUCAAUUUUGGAAAUUUGAAGGAUAUAAGAAGAGAUAAAUCUUUUCUACUUUCUACUCUACAUGCUGGGUUUGGGUUUAGGAACUAAAAUUCAUACUAUAAGCAACAGAGACGUGUUUCUCAUAUUCUCAUUGGGAGUCUUGUUUUUUUAAUACUGGUAGGUAAAAUAAUGUGUAUGUUAAUAUCCCAAAUGUGAACAUUUUUUUAGCUCACCUUGAAUCUGAUUGAAUUGAAUGAAUACUUUGA